RNAcentral lists this ribosomal RNA (617 nucleotides) under uncultured bacterium. RNAcentral describes it as "bacterial SSU rRNA". The stretch from base 1 to 519 matches the Rfam family "Bacterial small subunit ribosomal RNA", at positions 338 to 873 of the family's 1533-position model. The record is from RNAcentral.
CCUCGGAGGCAGCAGUGGGGAAUAUUGGGCAAUGGAGGAAACUCUGACCCAGCGACGCCGCGUGCGGGAUGAAGGCCUUCGGGUUGUAAACCGCUUUCAGCAGGGAAGAAGCGAAAGUGACGGUACCUGCAGAAGAAGCACCGGCUAACUAUGUGCCAGCAGCCGCGGUAAUACAUAGGGUGCAAGCGUUGUCCGGAAUUAUUGGGCGUAAAGAGCUCGUAGGUGGUUCGUCACGUCGGAUGUGAAAAUCUGGGGCUUAACCCCAGACCUGCAUUCGAUACGGGCGAGCUUGAGUAUGGUAGGGGAGUCUGGAAUUCCUGGUGUAGCGGUGGAAUGCGCAGAUAUCAGGAGGAACACCAAUGGCGAAGGCAGGACUCUGGGCCAUUACUGACACUGAGGAGCGAAAGCGUGGGGAGCGAACAGGAUUAGAUACCCUGGUAGUCCACGCCGUAAACGGUGGGCACUAGUUGUGGGGACCUUCCACGGUCUCUGCGACGCNGCUACGCAUAGUCGCCCGCCGUCGGGAGGUACGAGUCGCGAGUAAGUUAAACGUAACUUAAAUUAGUAAGUUAGUUACGGCGUUGAGACGUGCCGACGGACGACGACGAGGGAGGAGG